GCCGCCGUAGCUCAGUGGAUAGAGCGCCAGUCUUCGGAACUGGGCGUCGCGGGUUCGAAUCCUGCCGGCGGUA
Molecule: transfer RNA, 73 nt
Filed under: Chloroflexota bacterium
Lineage: Bacteria; Bacillati; Chloroflexota
Also listed under: 1 other name
Description: Chloroflexi bacterium (anaerobic digester metagenome) tRNA-Arg
Rfam family: tRNA
About the family: Transfer RNA (tRNA) molecules are approximately 80 nucleotides in length. Their secondary structure includes four short double-helical elements and three loops (D, anti-codon, and T loops).
Source: RNAcentral